This is a long non-coding RNA of Corvus hawaiiensis (hawaiian crow), 4480 nucleotides long. RefSeq lists it as uncharacterized. Lineage: Eukaryota; Metazoa; Chordata; Aves; Passeriformes; Corvidae. The record is from RefSeq and is a predicted model, not a curated record. The transcript has 4 exons.
CUCCAGGGCAGCAGCAGGCAACAACUCCCUGGCACAGUUAUAUGCCUAAGCCACUACCAUUAUAACCAGCUAGGAUGAGUGCAUGCCUCAGCCACUACGGCACUGAUUUGGAGUUCCACAUGUCUGAAUGCUGUGGGUCUUUUUGCUGUGGGCAGCCAUGGGUGCUUCUCCUCCUUCACUACUUCUGAGGGAUUGAUAACAACAUUUUGUGCUUUGCGAAUCUUGCUCUCUCUGGCUGUGCUGGUUAGCCUCUGCUUUUUCACAGAAGGAGUGAGCCCAGCUAAGUCUUUCCUUUUGAUUCAUGCAGGUUGUAAGGAAACACAGAGACAUCAAUGAAUUCUGAGAAAGAAAAUGACAGGCUGUGCUUCAGGAACAGGCUCCAAGCAGAAUGUCCCUCUUUGCUGCUGGUGCAUAGUGCACAGCAAGAGAAGAUCCCAUGUUUUCAGUUUGUUGCUACUUUCUAGUUCCCCCUACAGAGUCCAGACAGAUUGUGAGAAUCUGGCAUUUGACAUGUAAAUACUGUUGUGCCUAAUUUCUAACUACCAAAGUCUAUUACAGAUUCUUAAUCCUUUCCAUGGAAUUAUAUCUUAAUCUCUUUACCCUGGGAUUUAAGGUAAUAAUCUUGAGUUUUCUGGAAUAUCUUUGAUAUAAAACUCCGUUGGUUUUGCGUUGAACACGCCACAGGUAUAGUUAUUUAAAUUGCUCAAGAACACCUGGCCAAAAUUAAUUUCUUGGAAGAACUGGUAAUUCAAUUUCUUUGCAAUAAUCUGCUUGAAAAUAGGCAUGCAAAAUUUUAAUUUUAGUUUCCCUAAAAUCACAGCAUUCAAUAUAGAUACAUUAAGGAAUUUCAGUGGAGCAUGAGAUAAGCUCGAGAAAUGUGGAAUCCUUUAGAGUAACAUGUUUGUGCUAUCACUCAGCAGCUAAUUCCAUUUUUGAUGAUCUUGCCAAGAUGUUCAAACUACAUUAAUUAUAUCAAAUGCUUUGAUUGGUAUUUAAACUGUUUUCUCUUCCUUUCAAAAAGAUUGCCACUUUAACUGCCCAAGUGUAAAAUGCACUUGCAGAAGGGUUUGUGUGUGGCAAUGAGACACACUAAUCUUACCUGCUCAUUUAGUGAGGAUUCAGAUUUGUGUGUCUGAGAAUAGUGUGACGUGUCUGAGAUUAGUAUAAUGGUGCACUCUUGCUUGAAUUAUGCAGAAGUACUGCAUAAAAAAAAUAAUGCAUGGAGAUUAGUGUCAAAACUUCUUUUCAUUUAGCAGAUAAUAUCUUGAGGAGAGGGGUCUGAGGUUCAAAUUAGGAUAAUUGCAAUUAAUUGAAUGUAAUUUAGAAAGCAAAGUCUUUUAGAAAUGGUGGUCAGCUAAUGAGUAAUCCAAUACAUCUAGCAGAUGGAUUGUUGACUGCAAAGCAAUUAAUUUGAUGUUUCAGUGUCAUUUAUCUCUGUUUCCACAUAGCGAAGUGAACACUGGACUCCAAUGACAGGAAACAAGUAUGUGCCGGAAUUUUUUGGUGAUAUUAUCAUGCUCUGACUGGUUUAGUCAGUUUAGUUUUCAUUCCUUCUGGCACUUCACGACAGGACCAGAUCUUGUAUAAAUAGUAUUCAAACAAGCUUCUUACCAACAUUAAAAGGUAGCUUUAAGCAUAGAAGUUAUUUGUGCACCAAUGUAUAUUCGGUUGGUGUGGCAAGUUUUUAGUACUAGGGGUGCCAGGGGUGGCUUCAGACAGUAGAUGCUUGAAGCUUCCUACGUCCGACAGAGCCAGUUCCAGCUGGCUUCAAGACAGACUUGCCAGUGGCCAGGGCCGAGCCUGUCAGUGACGGUGGUAGUGCCUCAUUGGUAAAGUACUUAAGAAGGGGGUAAAAAAACCCUGCAAAACAGCAACUGCAGCUAAAGAAGAGAGGAGUGAGACUAUGUGAGAACCAACACUGCAGGCACCAAGCUCAGCAAAGAAGGAGGGUGAGGGCAUCUUGCAGGUACUGGAGCAGAGAUUCCACUGCAGCCUGUUCAUGAUCAGGCAGCUGUGCCUCUGCAGCCCAUAGAGUUCCAUGGGGAGUAGAGAUCCACCUGCAGCCUCUGGAGAACCCCAUGCUGGAUCGAUGGAUGCCCAAAGGAGGCUGUGAGAAGCCAGCACUGGAGCAGGCUCCUGGCAGAACCUGUGGAUCCAUGGAGAGAGGCGUCCAUGCUGGAGCAGGUUUGCUGGCAAGUCUUAUAAACCCAUGGGGGACCCACACUGGAGCAGCCUGUUCCUGAAGGACUUCACUCCAUGGAAGAGUCCUAUUCUGGAGCAGAUCACUGUUCCUGAAGGACUGGAGCAGCCUGCUCCUGAGGGACUUCACUCCAUGGAAGAGUCCUAUACUGGAGCAGAUCAUAAGGAACUGUGGCAAGGACUCACUUUGGAGAGGUUUGUGGAAGAUUGUCUUCUGUGAGAGGGAUCCCAUGCUGGAGCAGGACAAGUGUGAGGAGUCCUUUCCCUGAGGAGGAAGGAGUGGCAAAGACAACUUGUGAUGAACUGACUGCAGCCCCCAUGCCCAAAUCAGGAGUUAAGGUUGGCAAAAAGGGAAAGAGUCUCUCAAAGAUGUCUUGAAUAAUUUCAGUGAGGACCCAGGAUCCCAGGAGAUCAUUUACAGCUCUUUAACAAGGAAAAGGUAAGUUGUCUUCGAAGAGUUUACAGCAUGACCUGAAUGAUUGCUGGUUUUACAUUUUGUAGUUGCCUAUUUUUCUCUCUCUUAUGUUUGCUUUCCUGGAAGUACACUUAAGAAGCUUCUGUUUGACAACUGUUAUACCAAUAAUCAUGAUUUUAAAGAAUAACGCCAUUUACUCUUAUACCAGUCAAACAGUAUAUUACUGAACUUUUUUAAAGAAGUGUUUUAUGCUAGUGUUAAUUAGCGUUCAGCAAACCCAACUACCAGAAACACUGUCCCCGAGCGGAAAUACAGAUGAUCUCCUGUAAUACAUGUGUAAACUGGUAUUAGUGUCAGUUUCAUAUAAACACUAAAGCAAGACAAGAAAUAUUGCAAAGAUAAAUUAAUUAAUGUUGGUGAUCUGCUCCAAUGUUACAGUAAAAGGAAAAGCCUUUCUUUGAAUAGCCAGAAUGUUCUGCCCUGGGCUGCAUGUUCAGAUUGAAAUGAUGGGUUAAGAAUCAUUUACCAACUAUAAAAACGAUCCAGAGGCAUUCGUCUUUUCCUACUCAUCUGCUUUCUGACACCAGCCUAGGCCUAAGAAUCUUGGAAAGAUUUGGUAUCCAUUUAUUUUAGAUUUUGGAGCACGAUGCAUUUUCAAUGGGUCCUGAAGUGCAUGACCUACAUCACUGCAAGACUUUUUAAGUCUUCUGAACUACUUUCAUAGGGCAGUCCCUCACACAGAGUGACUGGAAAGAAGACACGUGCAGGUGGGAUGCAUUCCUUUCUUUGUUGCUCUUCUGCUAGAUUCUGGUAGGACUUUUCAUUCCUAUUUCAAUUAAGGCUUGUUUCAGCUUAAAAGCCCUCAUUUCAUUGUGACAGCCUCACAAAAUCUGGGGUGCUGUGCCCCAUCUCAGAACAAAAAGGGUUGCAAUCAGUAUUGUGGGAACAUACUGGGGUCUUGGAGAACAAAACAGGGAACAUGGCUGUGGACUUAAGGAGUAUAAACCGCAGGAGGAGCAGCACAACAGAGAAUGGUUGGAUCUAGAGUAGGAUCAAGCCUGCCCCACAGCCUCACACUGAGCUCCUGUGUGCCCCCCUGCUGCACCACCAUCACUGGGGCAGUGUGGUGAGGGCAGCGGUGGUACAACCCCACAGCUCGGGCAAACUCUACAGUGGGGCACACUUAAGAGUAGGGCUGCAGGAGAGCUCCAGAAGGGACAGCUUGCCCUGCUCAGCGAGCCCAGGUGCAAGGUCCCUCUGAUGUCUUAGACAGGGACGAGAUCCUGGUAUUAGGCAGCCCAGGGUGAGGAAUUGACACCAGGGCUAGGAGAUGUAAGAUUUAUUGGCCCACACAAAAAUUAGCUUUUCUCAAUCCAAAUUAGUGCUUACCAGCUGCCUCAUUAACAAAUAGGUAAUAUAAUGGGAAAAAAGUCAGAGGAAAACCUACCUUAAGGUGAAAGUAUUUUGUCUUGUUUUCUUUUUAGCUGGAGACCUGCUGGAAUCCAGAAAUGACAUUAAACUUUCUUUUAGAAGAGGUAAUUGAAAAGAAAAAGAUGAUCAAGGGAUGAACAAAUGAAGCCUUUUCUUACUGCUGUAUGAAUAAAAAUGUUGUUAAUAAGCCCUUUCAUUUCAGGCCUCCACUCUGCAGUCACACAUUUUGAAUGUAUAACCACACAGAUGAAAAUUUUUACCUCUAAGUCCUUCACAGCACUACAGAUGUUUUUGAAAAUAGAGAAAGGAAGCAAAGAAGGCAUGGACACACAGAGGACAGUGGGGAUAUAGAUUUAAUAAAAACCCUUUAAAAAUUACUUUCUUGUUUCUCAGUUUUCAGUAUUUGUAUUGCAUAACCAAUUCUUUUUCUAAGAA